This 177-nucleotide unclassified non-coding RNA is filed under the name uncultured fungus. RNAcentral's name for it is "sequence contains ITS1". The record is from RNAcentral. Lineage: Eukaryota; Fungi.
UUGACUUAUUUGAUAAGUUACUCAGAGAGGCCUAAAAAACAGAGUUUUGGGGUACCGCCGGCGGGCAGCCCCAGAGGGCCGGCGCCGCCGAGGCAACGGUUACGGGUAAUAUUCGCGAUGGUGUAAAGGGAGUUUUGCAACUCUUUAAUGAUCCCUCCGCUGGUUCACCAACGGAGA